AAGGAACUGGGUACUUUCCUAAACCGCGAAUGCCAUGGUCCGCAUAGCGACCCGCGGUCGCUUUCUGCAGUAUUAGCGCAGGCGGGGUUGAACAGUGCUUCCGAAGUGCGGCGACGGUGCUGUGGUCCAAGCAGAGAGGCGGAGGCAGAAAAGAGUCAGAGAGAACGGCGUCACAUCGUGGACGGAAUGAGCGGAGUGAUUCGUGGGCUGACAGAUGGAGUGCUCGGGUACCUGGCCGACUGCGUGGCGUCCGAAGCAUCCGAAGCCCUGCGGAACAUCGCCUACGCGCUGAGGAACGCAUGAUGACGCCCGUGAAAAAUUUGUGGGGACGCUCGACUCUCACGCUUGCCUUGAAGUUGUUUUCCCCGCGUGGCUCUCCCGUCUCCUGUAAUCCGGCUUCCCCGCGUAGCUGUGCCCCCGACGGCGGUCGGUGUAGUUGCAGACUAGUACAAAGACAUGGCGCGAUUGUUACGCUGAUAACGCUACCUAACGGCAGGGUUACCCGGACGCAAAAGGCCUCUUCCUCUUUGGCUUGGGAUCGGCUGUGUGCGUGGACGGCUGGUGCGCCCGUGGGCACGCUUCGCCGGAUCGUCCCGCGAAGGCUUCGUACGGGGACAUCGGGAUGGACGAACACGAUUCGUGUUACUGUACGCUCGAACGAUUAGGCGUUAAUGUCCAGCAUCGGGGGCGAACACAUUCGCUCGAUAUUCGGCCGCGGUGAGUCGGACUACCACGAUUUGUCAGCGCCCAUUGACGUGUUCCCUUAGUAGUAAUUAGGCCAGCUGGCAUUGGUGUACAAAAGGCGCAAUAAAUGCUAUUUUCAUUGUUUG
Dermacentor andersoni is the source of this 830-nucleotide non-coding RNA. Lineage: Eukaryota; Metazoa; Arthropoda; Arachnida; Ixodida; Ixodidae. The record is from RefSeq and is a predicted model, not a curated record.